AAGAAAUUUUGAGGUUUUAAGGAUUGAAAAAAAAUUAGGGGGUAAAAGUGGCCAGAAACACCGACCUUCUCUUGAUUAGGCUACAAUUUGAGCAACCAAAAUGGUAUAUGAACGUAGUUUGUGUCAUGAUUCUGAACUUCAAAGCACAAUGAUGGACAAAAUCAGCGCAGCACAAGUACCGAGUUGCGUGGCACGCCAAUAUUCAAGCAGAUAAAGAACCGUCCUGUCCUCUUUGUCUAAACACUGCCCAGCAUUAUAAGCAACUUUUACCGGCUUUAAUACACCAGUACCUAAGACAAAAAUAUCUGCUUCAUAACAAAAGACAAGACUCCACUCCACUACCUUUUGUCCCUCAGUACUUCAAAAAUGAACCGCAUGGAUUUAUAAAAUUAUGUAAGUAAAUAUAAAGUCUGCGAG
Long non-coding RNA from Actinia tenebrosa (Australian red waratah sea anemone), 417 nucleotides. The record is from RefSeq and is a predicted model, not a curated record. NCBI's taxonomy places the organism in Eukaryota, Metazoa, Cnidaria, Anthozoa, Actiniaria, Actiniidae.